AUUUAUUAAUUUCCAAUUUAUUAAUAUAAUAUUUUUUUAUUUUAUCUUCGAUAUUUGGUCGAUAGAGUCACCCUGAAACUGCAACACAAAAAAGGGAAAUUAAAAUAUGACGUCAUGGCUAUUGGGAAUUACCUUUGUCAAAUUUUGACAUUUUCAAAAUAAAUAUAUUUUUUCAUUCUUUUGCUUCGAUAAACACGGUAUUUUUGUUCCGAUAUUGAAACAAAGUAAAGACAUAUGGGGAAGAAAGGUUGCAGGUUAUUAAAAUAGGUCAUAUGUCAUGGGAAACAAACAUGAUAAGCCUGGACUCCCAACCAUUGAACAAGCCACAGAACCCAAUGUUGAUAUAAACAAAGGUUCUCAACCUAUAAAUGGAAGGAACAGUAAUGAGGCACAUGACAAUCAUGGAACAGUUGCAACAAUACAGGGUGAGCUGAAAGAAACGCAGGGAGAUAACACUGAAGGUUGGGUUACAAUAUCAUUGGCAACUCAAGAUGCCUUGGUAUUCAACCCACAGACCAGCUAUACAUUAUGUGCAGGUGUAGGCAGACAGUUGAAGAUGGACACAGGCCAUCUAGGCGUAGCGGCAGACAAUGAUGCUAACCUCAUACACUCUGUGUUACACCAGAAAUUUGACAUUCCAGAGAAAAAUUCCACGUUACUCUCGAGUGAAAAAGAAAAACAAGCUACAUUAGAAAAUAUACAAUGUGAAUUACGAGCCAAGUCACAGCUUGUGGGGAAAGAUGGUAUUUUGGUUUUCCAGUUCUCCGGGCACUGUUACAAGCUGCAAACAGGGGAGGUGCUAUUAGCCCCAGCAGAUUGCAUGCGCACUAGGAGUACAACUCUUACUAUUCAGGACAUUAUUAACUGCAUACAGGGCACUAUUGCAUCCUACUUUGUGAUGAUCGUUGAUUGUUGCUAUGCCGAACUUGUUGCCGAACAAUUUAUCCUAAAAUGGGAAACAUUAGUCCCAACAUAUAUCCUUGCAUCUUGCAGCUCGAAACAGAAAUCAUUAUCUUUCAAAGAUUUGAAGAAUGGAUUUUUUACUUAUUUUCUUGUGAAAUAUUUUGAGGAUUAUAAAGAAAGGACAUUCCCAACUCUGACAGCUGUUGAUUAUUGUAAACCUCUCUGUGCAGCCAUGAGUACACUUGUCAGCCCAGGGUAUGGUGCAGAUGCAGAGAUGUCCCCCAAAGCUGUAUUCUGUAACAUACAGGUGCUAGAGGAGAGGGUGCUGGUUCAUACUGGUGCAGUAGAUGACAUUGACUUCACACAGCAAACUUAUCCUUAUGAUUUUGCUGUGAAGUACCUGAUGUUAGAUCAAGCUAUUGGGAAAGGCUGUAGUCUCCCAGAGGUACCACAAGCCGUUAAAGUUUGGUUGAUGAAUGAUGCUACACCUGCCAUGGAGAAACUGAAGGGGGCCAGCCUCAUCCACCUGCCAGAGAUGUUUAGUACAGUGAUGGCUUUUCUUGCCCAGUCUGUGGCCAAACUCAUGUACAAGGAUGCAUUGGACAGUACAGGCUCCCAUGAACUCAUAUUUAGGAGUGAUUGGUUCAUAUUGGCUUUCAUCAGAGUCAGUGAGGCUUUGAGUCACGUGGAUGAGAGUCUGCAGCCAGAGCUUAAAGACAUGGAACAUUUUCUUGAAUACUACACAACGAAGGUAAAGUGGAUGACAGAGGAAGACUGGAGAAGUGAAGACCUGACAGAACUGAUUGACUUGUUGAACAAGGUCAGCAGAGACAAUAGGAUGGCACAACAAGGCAAACAACCUGUAGAUGAGAGCGACCAACUGGAUGGAUCACUGAAAGAACAGAUCUAUAUGACUCUAGAAAGCAUCCAGGAAGAAAUGAAAGCAACAUUUUUGCCACCAUUACUUGGAGACCACUAAGAACCAGGAAAUGCAUUUGAUUAGAACUUUCAAAUUUACAAUCUUCUACUUAAGAGGCAUAUACUGUUACACUUGCCAAUUGGUGUAAAAUCUGAACAUUAUUUUGAUGCUUGAAAUGCAUUGUUUGAACAUUAUUUUGACACCCACCUUCCUUGUGGAGUGAGCUUGUCUAAAGUAUACUCCCUGUGCACAAUACUAGUACAUUGUAUGUAAAACCAACCAACAUAAAGUAGAGCACAUUUUAACCCAUUGCAGUAGCAGCAUAUCUCAUGUACAUUCAAUUAGGGAUUUUAAAGCCCCAUACAUAGGUUGAAAAUGUACUUUUUAGAAAUCCAUAUUUGCAUUUCAUAUUUACAACUUUCCAUGCUGCUUUUAAUCAGUUGUAUAUUUAUAAUUAUUAUCAAUUACCUUGUUUUAUGUGUAAUGUGCAAUAUGUAAUUUGAUAUUUACCUCAAGUGUAUGCUUAUUUGAUAUUAAACUGUACUGUACUGCACUGUACUGUACUGUACU
This 2392-nucleotide unclassified non-coding RNA is filed under the name Owenia fusiformis. RNAcentral describes it as "misc RNA OFUS_LOCUS422". The record is from RNAcentral. Lineage: Eukaryota; Metazoa; Annelida; Polychaeta; Sabellida; Oweniidae.